UGGGGAAUUUGGACAAUGGGCGAAAGCCUGAUCCAGCAAUGCCGCGUGUGUGAAGAAGGCCUUCGGGUUGUAAAGCACUUUUGUCCGGAAAGAAAUCCUUGGCUCUAAUACAGUCGGGGGAUGACGGUACCGGAAGAAUAAGCACCGGCUAACUACGUGCCAGCAGCCGCGGUAAUACGUAGGGUGCAAGCGUUAAUCGGAAUUACUGGGCGUAAAGCGUGCGCAGGCGGUUUGCUAAGACCGAUGUGAAAUCCCCGGGCUCAACCUGGGAACUGCAUUGGUGACUGGCAGGCUAGAGUAUGGCAGAGGGGGGUAGAAUUCCACGUGUAGCAGUGAAAUGCGUAGAGAUGUGGAGGAAUACCGAUGGCGAAGGCAGCCCCCUGGGCCAAUACUGACGCUCAUGCACGAAAGCGUGGGGAGCAAACAGGAUUAGAUACCCUGGUAGUCCACGCCCUAAAACGAUGUCAACUAGUUGUUGGGGAUUCAUUUCCUUAGUAACGUACUAACGCGUGAAGUUGACCGCCUGGGGAGUACGAUCGCAAGAUUAAAACUCAAAGGAAUUG
This 563-nucleotide ribosomal RNA is filed under the name uncultured bacterium. RNAcentral describes it as "partial 16S ribosomal RNA". It matches the Rfam family "Bacterial small subunit ribosomal RNA", at positions 356 to 912 of the family's 1533-position model. The record is from RNAcentral.